AAUGAACGUUGGAACUAUACUUAACACAUGCAAGUUGAACGAAAUUAUUUAAAAAUAUAAAAAUAUAUUUUAAUGUAAUUUAGUGGCGACCGGGUGAGUAAUAUAUUUGAAAGAUACCUUAAAGAUCGGGAUAUAGUUCGCGAAAGUGAAAAAGAUACCGAAUAACCAAAGAUUAAUUACUUUAAAGAUUCGCAAAUAUAAAUUAAGUAGUUGGUAGGAUAAAAGCCUAUCCAAGCUUAUAAUUUUUAGUUGAUAUUGGAGUAUGAUCAACCACAUCGGAACUGAAACAAGGUUCAAGCUUCCACGGAGGGCAGCAGUGAGGAAUAUUGGGCAAUGAGCGAAAGCUUGACCCAGUGAUAGUUUAUGAGUGAGAAAUGGACAGCAAUAUCGCUGUAAGGCUCUUUUAACAAAGACGAUAAUGACUGUAUUUGUAAGAAUAAGCACUGGCUAAUUCUGUG
This 458-nucleotide ribosomal RNA is filed under the name uncultured bacterium. Its description in RNAcentral is "bacterial SSU rRNA". It matches the Rfam family "Bacterial small subunit ribosomal RNA", at positions 30 to 507 of the family's 1533-position model. The record is from RNAcentral.